AUCCAGAAUAAGUUGUUCCAUCACCUUCCCAGGGACAGAAAGAAAAUAUCCUGCUGCCUUGUGAACAGCACAACUGCUGGGAGAGAGAGGAAUGAACCUGAAGAAUGCCCGAUCACCAAUUUAAUAUUUGUCAUUCUGCAUUACUGCUGGCUGUGUAUAAAGAUGACUUUCCCAUGGAAACAGUUUCAAAACUGUAUUUAAAAAGGCAAUACUCUAUUGUACGUAUGCAUUUUGGUAUCAUUAAUAGAUGUUUUAAAAUCCCAGA
Coturnix japonica (Japanese quail) is the source of this 265-nucleotide long non-coding RNA. RefSeq lists it as uncharacterized. Lineage: Eukaryota; Metazoa; Chordata; Aves; Galliformes; Phasianidae. The record is from RefSeq and is a predicted model, not a curated record.